This 254-nucleotide ribosomal RNA is filed under the name uncultured Hyphomicrobiales bacterium. RNAcentral describes it as "uncultured Rhizobiales bacterium partial 16S ribosomal RNA". It matches the Rfam family "Bacterial small subunit ribosomal RNA", at positions 524 to 776 of the family's 1533-position model. The record is from RNAcentral. Lineage: Bacteria; Pseudomonadati; Pseudomonadota; Alphaproteobacteria; Hyphomicrobiales.
UACGAAGGGGGCUAGCGUUGCUCGGAAUCACUGGGCGUAAAGCGCACGUAGGUGGGUUUCUAAGUCAGGGGUGAAAUCCUGGAGCUCAACUCCAGAACUGCCUUUGAUACUGGAAAUCUUGGAGUCCGGGAGAGGUGGGUGGAACUGCGAGUGUAGAGGUGAAAUUCGUAGAUAUUCGCAAGAACACCAGUGGCGAAGGCGGCUCACUGGCCCGGUACUGACACUGAGGUGCGAAAGCGUGGGGAGCAAACAGG